CGAACGCUGGCGGCGUGCUUAACACAUGCAAGUCGAACGAAGAGCGAUGGAAGCUUGCUUCUAUCAAUCUUAGUGGCGAACGGGUGAGUAACGCGUAAUCAACCUGCCCUUCAGAGGGGGACAACAGUUGGAAACGACUGCUAAUACCGCAUACGAUCUAAUCUCGGCAUCGAGGAUAGAUGAAAGGUGGCCUCUACAUGUAAGCUAUCACUGAAGGAGGGGAUUGCGUCUGAUUAGCUAGUUGGAGGGGUAACGGCCCACCAAGGCGAUGAUCAGUAGCCGGUCUGAGAGGAUGAACGGCCACAUUGGGACUGAGACACGGCCCAGACUCCUACGGGAGGCAGCAGUGGGGAAUCUUCCGCAAUGGACGAAAGUCUGACGGAGCAACGCCGCGUGAGUGAUGACGGCCUUCGGGUUGUAAAGCUCUGUUAAUCGGGACGAAAGGCCUUCUUGCGAAUAGUGAGAAGGAUUGACG
Molecule: ribosomal RNA, 475 nt
Filed under: Veillonella parvula
Lineage: Bacteria; Bacillati; Bacillota; Negativicutes; Veillonellales; Veillonellaceae
Description: bacterial SSU rRNA
Rfam family: Bacterial small subunit ribosomal RNA
Source: RNAcentral